This 10297-nucleotide long non-coding RNA is filed under the name Vitis vinifera (wine grape). Its description in RNAcentral is "long non-coding RNA (VVIN_LNC002710)". The record is from RNAcentral. Lineage: Eukaryota; Viridiplantae; Streptophyta; Magnoliopsida; Vitales; Vitaceae.
GUGGACACUUGAACCAUGAUUUUGAACUUAAAAUGUACAUACUGCAAUACACCAAAUAUUGAGGUAAUGUGCUUGAGUUUCUAUUGAUUUUAAGGAGUACAUCAUGAACUUUGCAGGAUAUAGAAUGGUUAAGAUCUAUCACAAACUUGCCGAUUCUGAUCAAGGGGGUACUCACUUGUGAAGAUGGUAAGCUCAAGGCUCUAUUUUAUGAUGUUUGCACCAUUUCAUUUUAAUUGUAUUCCUCCAAAAUACAAGCAUUGAUGCUUUUGUUUAGUGAAGCAUUCUUCCAUUGUCUUUUUGGUCUAACUCUUACCUCCCCCUGCCCAAGGAAAAACAAUAAUUCCCCUUUGGUACUACACUUGUCUUCUAAUGUUUGAUUGUUUCUGUAGGCCAUCAGAAAAUCCAUUUAAAUGCUGCCUUUGUGUUUUUUUUUUUCUUUAAUAGUUGAGAGAGUUUAAUCUUUGUUUAUUUAUUGUGCAAUUUCCCCAUGGUUGAACAAGAUUAUUGAUUCUGUAUAAUGCCACUGGCAGCAAUUAAGGCUGUGGAAGUAGGAGUUUCUGGGAUUAUCGUCUCCAAUCAUGGAGCUCGCCAGCUAGAUUACGUUCCGGCCACUAUUUCGGCCCUGGAAGAGGUGAUUCUCUUUUUCUGCCUUUAUGGAGUUGCUCUAUUUUGCAGAUACAGUGCUUAGAUUUACAGGCUUAUCAAGACCUUAAUCACAUGCAUGUUUUUAACUAUCCAUAACCUUUUCAAUAUUUCGAUAUCCCUACUCUACAAGUGGCUGGUAUAAAUUUCUCAAAAUUUUUAUCCGUGAGCUCCAGGACUUGCUUCUAAUUUCCACCAUUUUCCUGAAUCAAUAUUGAUAUAAUGAGUUCCUCUGUAUUUUCAGAACCUUAAUGUGGUGUGUGGAUAUUAAUAUUUUAUUCCUUGAUUGCAGGUAAUAAAAGCCAAUAGUAAUAAUAGGUGUGUAAAAAUCCACACUUCUCUGUCUGGAAACUGAAAUAAUUAACAAGGAUAUAUAUUUAACGGUUUAGUUUGAAUGAAACAAUCUAUUUUCCAUUUUGUUUCUUCUAAUCUGACCACGUCUUUACUUCCCAUCUUAUUCUGCUAAUCCUCUGCCAAGACCAAAAACAAAAAUGGUAGCUUAAUGUCACAAGAUGCUUCAAAUGACCCUCCCCAUGGGCUUAUAUAGGAGGAGAGAAGCUUCUAGAGACCCUUGGAGACAUCCACACUUAGCCACUAGUGGGAAGAGUGUGGAAGGUUCUAGAAAUGCCUAGAGAAGUCCACACAACUCUACACUAUGGAAGAAGGCAUGAGAAGGGUCCAAAGCUUUCUAGAGAAAUCUAGAAGUCUCUUGUAUAUAAGCUUGUACAUAGAAUAGUGUAGGACAUUCUAGAAUAUUCAUGAAUUGUAAGGAACCCUCCAAGGUUCUAGAGAGUUCCAUUGGUGCCUAUAAAUAGGUGAGGGCCUCAUUUGGCCAGGGCACCACCCAAAUCACUUCCUAACCAAGCAAGUGAGCUUCCAAGCACUUGUAAAGGUUUCCUUGAGUUAGUGAAAGCUUCCAUUCUUUAAAGAGUUGCCUACUAAGCUUCUUAAGCUUUCGAGUCGCGAGCAUCUUAGCCUAGCAAGCUAAGCAUUGGGAGCAAGGCUGACUUAGCAAGAUCAAGCAUCUUGACUUGUCUAAGUGCCGCACGAGCUUAGUGAACGACUAAGUCCAUGACAUUAAGCAUUCACAAACAUGAGAUAAAUAUAAAUUCACUGAUUGAGAAAUAGGUAAAUGCGCCCGCUCACCUAAAUGCAUGAGUCCAGAGUUUCUCAAACUCCAUUGGUCUCCAUCUUCAUUUUAGCUUUGUACACUUUAUCAUGUGGUUUAUACGCUGAUAUUUAAGUUCAUGAAGCAAUGUUGGUUAGCGAAAUUCAGAAGAGAAUGGAAUGAGCAGCACAUAUAGAAGCACUAAUUGUGGUGACCAUAUGUAUUACCUGGCAUUUGGUUGUGGGUUAGGAUUAAACAAGAACUCAUAGCAAUCUCCCCUCAUUAAAAGCCUUUUCCUAGAAUUUAUGCAGGCAUCUGAAAGUAAGAAAUGAAUGUUGACUGCAUUUCCCAUGGGAUUUUUUUUUUUUUUUUAAUUUAGUUACCAGUAGGGAGUAUCCUGUUUGGCAAAGACAAUUUCAGUUACCAAUGGAAAGAUAUCUGAUAAAGAAAGUGAGCAUUCUUGUCUAUCCUGGUCAGGUGGUUCGAGCUGUUGGAGGGAGGGUUCCUGUUCUCUUAGAUGGAGGAAUACGGCGUGGAACAGAUGUCUUCAAGGCACUAGCCCUUGGUGCACAGGCUGUUUUGGUAAGGUUUUCUCCCCCAACUGUUCAAUUGUCUGAAGUAUGGGCUUUGUGCUGCACUUCUCUUUCAUUGUCACCAUCAUUUUAACACAUUGGCAUCCUGCUAUAAUUCAGCACAUAAUUUCUGUCUCUGGGGGUCUAAUCCUCAUGGAUAUGCUGCAGAAUACUGGGCUGAACCACUACAGUUGUAUCCCAAACGAUGAUUUAACCUCCCCAUAUUUGUUUUGUCCUGCUUGUGGCUCUCAGCUUUCAUCCCUACUUAUCUUGUUCAUGUAAUUCUUGCAGGUUGGAAGGCCAGUAAUCUAUGGGCUGGCUGCAAAGGGAGAACAUGGGGUGAGGCGGGUCCUUGAAAUGCUGAAGGAUGAGCUCGAGAUCACCAUGGCCCUCUCAGGCUGUUCCAGUGUGAAGGAUAUCAGCAGGAGGCAUGUGAGGACGGAGCGAGACAGACUCCAGUCCAUGCUGUAACUCGAUGUUGUAAGUUAAAAUUAUAUCCUGCAGAAGGAUGGUUGAAUAAUCUGUACCACAUCUAAUAAUGUGAUGGAGUUUAUGCAUUCUACUCUUAUUCAAUAAAGGAAAUUGGUUCCUUGAUGCUCUACUGCAUGCUUCAUUUAACAUUAUGCAGAUAAGCAUUUGUUCCCAAAGUCCUCUCGUAUGAAAAUACGAAAAUUAUAGUUUUUACUUCGGCUUCAACUUCCUGCUGAGGCAAAAAACAAUCUGGAUUAGUUGUUCCUCUACCAAAGAAAUGGGCUUGGUACAUUUUCCAAGCCAGAUGUUGUAUUCCCAUAGAAGAGUUGGAUCUUUUGGUAAUUGUAGCCACAGGGCACCAUUAGGAAGGAUGAACCAUUUUCCUCACUAAACCAAACAAAACACCCCCCUUCCCCACUCUCCUGCCUACUCCAUUUGUCCAGAGACUCCAUUCAGACAAAACCAGCAACACCCAUGUGUUAGUUCAGGGGCCUUCAUCAAAAGAACUCCAUAGAGAAAAGAUGAGCCAAUACCCAGGUUUGUAAGUUCAGUGCCAUUCAUCAGGAUCCUCCAUCUCUACAAGAUGGGAAAUGCCCAGGUAGCUAAAGUUCAAUGCGUACCUCUCCAGCCGUCUUUCCCAUCCGGUGGUCUAACUUUCCAUCUCAUAAUUGUUGACUUUACUAUUUAUGGGAUAGCAUAAAAGAUAAGAUAAGUUACGGCCCAACUUAUCUAUUUGAUGUUCAACUAAACAUGAGACAACAAUAAGAUGUUAUUCAUUAAUUAAGGUAUAUGGUAAAUUUUUUUAUAUUCCUUAUUUUGCAAAAUAGAAAAUUUUAAUUAAGUUUUAAAUAUUAUAAUCAUCAUAUUAUUAAACCUAAUAAAAUUCUCAUAUUUUAUUUAAUAAUAAAUAUUAGAAUGUAGUAUAAUUUUUACUUUAAAUAAAUAUGAAACAUUGAAAAAUAAUAUAUAUUUUAUUUUGGUUUUUUUUCAUUAUGUUAUAUUAUUGCAUAUACUACAUUAAGAUUUCAUAUUUAUUGGACAUAAUAUUUAAUUACAUAUUUUAUUGAAAAUGAUAUCUUAAAAUCUUUGGAUAUAUCUUUGGAUAGGUAUUUUCCAUUCAAGAAAAUGUGAUGUUUUAAGAUAUAUUUUAUAUCAUAUUCUAUCCAUUUAGAAAUCAUUCUUAUCCGUUUUUUAAAUUUUUGAUAACUUUUAAAUAUUUUUUAAUUGUUUUUUAGGAAGGUUUUCAAAAUAUUAUAAUAAAUAUAAAGAAUAAUUAAAAAUAAAAUUUAUUUUAAAAUAUUUAAAAAUGCGGAAAACAAGAUAAGAAUACAUUAAAUUUCCAAAUAAAUAUUUAAUUUAGAAAAUACUACAUAAUUGUUUUUUAUUUUGGAGAACUUUUUUGAAAACAUUUACAAAAAAGACCGUUAGUUCCCAUAUAUAUCAAUUGUGAAGUGAGGUUGAUGAUAUUCUAGAAACCUGAAGGAGAUGAAUGAUAUUAUCACAAACCUCAGGGAGGUAACUGAUAUUUUCUCUUCCUCCUGCUUCUCUUUGUUCGCCGCCUUUUCCGUGAGUCACUCGCCGAGGAAUCAAUCAACACGAAGGCUUGCAAAGUUUAAAUUUCCAAACGACGUCGUUUUAACCUCUCUAGCCGAUAUAGCAGCCACCAUUUGCCCUCGAAAAUGACGAUCAUACCCUUGUAAUGUUUACAAACAGGUACACUAGGAAAAGCACCAGCGAUCGGCAUCAUCCAAAGACAUUUCUUUCAGUAGCAGCUCAUCUUUUCAUUCACAUUCAGGCACUGCAGAAGCUCUCUCUGAAUCGAAGGUAUAUUUACUUAUUUUUCUAUUUUCUAUAUAUAUAUAUAUAUAUAUAUAUAUAUAUAUAUAUUACUGAUUAUCAACAUUCUUUUAUUCUCUUGUGAAUUUGAAUGUGUAUAUAUAUAGCGGUAUUUUGUACUGGUUCUGAUGAACCUAGAUAAAUUAUCAACUGUUUUCAUGUUCUUAGUUUGAAAGUUUUCAACCCUUAAAGAAGAUUUGAAUUUUUCCAUCAAUAAAAGGUGUGGUUUUGGCUUCUGAUGGCUGUUAAAGUGAAGUUUAUUAGCCUAUUUAGGUGUAUAUUGGAAGAAUAUUGUGUAAUUGCAACUGAAUGAGGAAUUUUUUUUUUUUUUCUUUUCAACCUUCAAAAUGAUACAGCUGGACUUCCCCACAUGCUUACUUAUGGAAUCACUUAAUGCAGAAAAUGAGUGAUAAACCUUAUGUGGAGUGUGCAUUUCCUACACAUGUCCAACAAUAAGAGACCAAUCUAAUUGAACAUGGAGUGAGGCUGCUUCAAAGUUCAAAUGUUGGGACAACAAUGUAGAAUGGAUUCUUAUCUGAAGAUGUGGUCCAAAUUUUCGAUUCAGCCCUAGUCCACUAUCAAUUUGGAUUGGUUUCCUGUUGUUUUGAUAUGGGGGACAUUAUGCAGUCCACUUGCUGUGCCCUCUUUCACCUCUUAGCCCUAAUCUUUGUUGUUCAAUUGUGUCUUUUGCCUUGUUGCUCUUACUUUGGUAACUCUGCUCUUACCUUGACAACCCAGAUUUUUACUCUUACUAAUACCUUUCACUUUUGAAUUUGAGCAGCGUACAUUGUGGCUUUGCAUGUAUCAAUUAUAUGUGGCAACUAUAUCUCACCAAAGCACUAAACGCAUGCAACUUCGUGUAAUUUGGAGUUUCCUAAGCUCAUAAUUGUAGUGAAUGGCAAAUGGCAAGGCUAGUGAUAUUAAAAAAUAAUAAGAGGUCAACACACGGUCUUCAUGUUAACCUUGAAAUUAAUAUAAAAUGUAACAUUGCUCCUAAAAAGUUCAGUCUAGGCUGGAUAAAGAACAUGUCUCUAUAAUUCUCCGUUUUAGCCAAGCUUUGAUCAGCAAACGGAUCCUUAGUUGAUGUCAUCUUGACAUCAUUCAUAAUCUUAUCUUCCAUGCUUAUUUUUUAUGCUUAUGAUUUGGUGCCAUUGUGGGAACAGUCUAGUUAUAAUUUUUACAAAAUUUCCUUUAUACCACUUUUGAAGUUCCUGGCUAUUCCCUUGUUAAUUUAUCAUCCCUAGAAACCUUUUCAUAUUUUACUUCUUUUAUGUACUACCUUAAACUACUACUUCUUCAGCAUAAUUUUCUGCAUCAAAGACCUUCGAAUGCUCAUUCUGAGGUAGCAAGGCAAUUUUAUCCUUACUAAAGCCUUCAGAACACCUAAUUAGGGGUGGCAAGCCAGUUUCCACCUUUAUGUACCUAAGUGAGGUGACAGCAUACAGGCUAAAGGCCUUAGAAUGCCUAUUAAGUGGCAGUGAGGCAACUAACACCCUUAUGUACCUAAGAAGAGGUAAUAGGGUACAAACUGAAAGCACUCAAAAGACCUAACCAGAGGUGAUCUGAUAUAACCCAGGUUCCCUUAAUGCCUAAUCCAAGGUAGAGAGGCAACUCAAGCCCUUUCAGCGGCUACUCAAGGCAGUCAAUGAAUCUGCCAUUUUUCCAUCUUUUAACCACUCUUCCUGAGUGCUUUAAUGUCUUUUCUUGCUAGCUCUUCUUGAACUCUCAGUAAUUCUUCUUUCUUUUUUCUUUUUUUCUUUUAGAUAGCUAAAUUUUUGUCUCCAUAGGGACUUGAAGCCAAACCUUCCACAAACCCAUAAAAAAGUAACAUCAAUCUCUAAAAAUCUCUUCUUGGACUAGAUAAAUAUUAGGUCCCAGUUACCUAAGCUUAACAAGGAAAGAUCCUUGGCAGACACCAUGCUGACAAAUUGAUAUUCUUAUUUUCCAUGCUUACAUCUUUGUGUUUACAGGAUAAUUUCCUUAGUACUUUUCUUACCUUUUUUAGUUUCCUAUCAUCCUAUGUCAUCUUGAAGUUUCCUAUCUUUUUAUUUUUGUUGCUAGGCUUUGUGUUUAUUUUUGGUAAUUAAGUCAUGUUUCUUAUCUUUUUAAGCUUCCUAUUUUAUUUUCAUGGUUAUUUUUGGUUGUUAAGUAAUUAAGAGAAAGGGAGGUUUCUUACCCUUUGGUUUUUCAUUUUAGGUUUCUUUUGUAGGUUUCUUUGUCUCUUUAGGUUUUUCUAUUUUACUUCAUGUUUACCUUACCAUUAAGCAAUUAGUACAAGGUUCUCAUUUUUUAGGUUUAUAUUUUAUGUUUUCGGGUUUCUUUAUCUUUUCAUCUUUUGUAUUUUUUUCAUAUUAGGUUUCCUAUUUUAUCUUCUUGUUUAUCCUUGGUAAUUAAGCUGUCACAAUUUUUUAUUAUUUCUAGGAUCAUGAAAGCUACAAAUACUUGAUUAUAGCUAGGGAUCAAGGAUUGAUUGUUAUUAUUUGGUUUUCUUUAUAUUUUAUUACAAUUUGAGUUUUCAUUUUUUUUCUUGUUCUUAUUUGAUUUUUUUACUUUUUAAUUGAGUUAUUUCUGUGAAGGUGUUAUCUUUUGGUAAGGUGACAUUGUUGUUGGAAUAAUCAACAACUGGUACGAUAGUUCACUUGUUUACCUAUAGGCCCAAGGAGCAGUUGAACUACUUUUCAUUUUAAGAGAUCACAUUUAAGGGGUGUGUAUAAAUAUAAUGGAGUGAUUAUUUUGUUCAAAUUUAGCUAUGAUUCAUUUUAUGAAUUAAAAGUACACAUAUUUGAGUUUCCUGCUAUUCGUGGCCCCAUUUUUCGGAUUGGAGCAAUAGCUUUAUUUUAUUUUUCCUAGACCUGCUUGUGUUAUGUUUUCUAUGCUAUGAUGCCUUUUCUUUAGUUCCUAUAUAUAAUUAAGUCUGAGUUGCUUUGAAACUUAAAUUUAUCUCAUUCUAGUUUGCUUCUAUGUUAUAGAGAAGUGAGUUUUUAUAGCAAAAGAACAACAAAUUUUACAAGGUUCUGAGUAGGAAGUGUAGAAUCAUGGUUGCCAAGUGGAGCAUCUUCUAAGCCUUUUCAAAUUUAUGCAUGGGAUGGUUACUUGAGAUUUAUGCAGUUGCAUAUAGGACUAGCUGUUGGAAAACUAAACAUUGUUUAAUGUUCAUGUUUCCAGUACUAAUGGCAGCUGAACCGGUCAAUGUGAAUGAGUUCCAAGAACUGGCUAGACAAUCACUUCCAAAAAUGUACUAUGAUUUCUUCUCUGGGGGUGCUGAGGACCAGCACACACUAAGGGAGAACGUAGAAGCAUUUAGCAGAAUCACGUAAUGCUCUUGACCCGUUAUUGUUCAAGUGGCUAACAAAAUAAAACACUGAACUAUCCUUUAUUUAUGGCUUCAGGUUUCAUCCAAGAAUUCUUGUGGAUGUGAGCAAAAUAGAUAUGUCAACUACUGUAUUGGGUUUCAAUAUCUCAUCACCGAUUAUGAUUGCUCCAACUGCUAUGCAUAAGUUGGCACACCCUGAAGGUCUAAAUACUCUUGCUAGAGGAUUAUCUUGAAAUGUGAUAUGCAAUAUUUAGUACACUAGUGUUUUGUGUUGAUUUCAGGAGAGAUUGCAACAGCCAGAGCAGCAGCUGCAUGUAACACCAUAAUGGUACUAGUGUAUCUUGGUUUUAUCAUAUCAGCUUAGUCAAGAUAUUUGAUCACUGAGUUAUUUUUCUCUACAGGUGUUAUCCUUCAUGUCUACCUGCACCGUGGAAGAAGUUGCUUCUAGCUGCAAUGCUGUUCGAUUCUUGCAAUUAUAUGUAUUCCAUUUUUCUUAAGCUCUACUGAAUUCAAAUUUCCUUCACGAACUUCCAUUUUUCUUUAGCAGCAUCAAUUUUUGCCUUUUUUGCUUGGAAUUUUAUGAUCCCAAUUUUAGAAUCUCAAGUUGGAUUUGUUAUCCAUCUGCAAAUAGGUAUUUAAGAGAAGGGAUGUAUCAGCUCAGUUAGUGCAAAGAGCUGAAAGAAAUGGAUUCAAGGCUAUUGUUCUAACUGCUGAUACUCCAAGACUUGGUCGAAGGGAGGCAGACAUAAAAAACAGGUGAAACAUCAUCUCCUUCUCUGAUACCUUUUUUCAUUAACUACAUGUUUAUUCCCUUGGUAGUGCUAUGAUAUGCAUAACCUGAUGGGAUAUGACAUUGGUUUAGUCUAUAAGAAAAAAAUUUCUUUUCUAUCUUAUGGACAUUGGAUUUGAUUCGAAAAACUAUAUUGAUUUUGAAUAUAAAAGUCAAGUUUUAUAUUUGCAAUAUCUAGUGCAUCACAUGGAAAAGUAUCUGUUACCAAACUUUUGCAGAAUGGUCUCACCUCGGUUGAAGAAUUUUGAAGGUCUCAUAUCAACUGAAGUUGUCACUGUAAGUAGAACAGUUGAAUAAUAUCUUCCAGUUUUGUACAUUUUAAAUUUUCCUAGAAGUAAUGCAUGAGCUUCUUUGCCCUUUUAUUAUUAUUUUUUUGGUGGCACGUGAAUCUAACAAACAAGAAGCUUUUAUACAACACUCUUAGGCCUCAUUUGAUAUAUAUAUAUAUAUUUUUGGCUUUAGCCUGAAGCUGAAGUUGUUAACCAUGAUUUCAAAGGGUAAUAAUGGGAACUAUGAAAUUAUUAUUAAACAUCAAGAACUUUUUUCAUGAACUAGAAAUGAGCUUCCAUGAGAGACAACAUUGUCCCUACUUCAGUGCAAGGCUUUUUUAGAGCUUGUUUUUAAAAUUACCCCAAACACAUAAGAAACACUUAUUGGACUUUCAAACACUAGACUCACCCCAAUCCCAGCCAUUCCCUUUUCAGCUUGAGCCAAGGCCCAGGGUUGUGAUUAGGUUUCAUGCUGCUAAUUGUACACUUAAAUCUGGGGAAGUUUUUCUUUCAUACAUGCAUAUGAUUGCAUGCCACUUAAAGAGCACCUACCUUACAAUUUAAUGGAAAAUUUAUUGCCACAAAAAAAGUUCCUUGUUCCAGGACCACCAUUGGGUUUAAAUGGUGUGAGCUUGUAUAUUUAUGAAAAUGAUAUAUUUGCUGAAAUAAAUACUGCUGCACAAGGUCUCCCUCUCUCUGUUUCUCUCUUUCUGGUUGCCAUUUGGUCAAAUUAGAACAGGCAUACUCUUUUUGCUUAUGAAAUGCAUAGAGAAAUAUGUUAACACUGCAUAUUGGAUCCAAAAUAAAGAGACUGUUUUAUCUCAUACUGCAGUUUACAAUAGAUUUGAUGGGUGGAGACCCAUGUUAUUUGAUCUAAAUCAUGACCAUCAACUGGUUUACGUGAAUACUUAAAUCAUAUUGUGAUACUUUUUAGAAAAAAACAAUAAUAAUGAUUUUGUUAAACUGUUUUUUAAAAUUUUGCAGGACAAGGGUUCAAAUAUUGAAGCUUUAGCAUCAGGAAUGUUUGAUGCUUCUUUGUCUUGGAAGGUAUUUGCUGAUAAACUAAUUUGGUUACUGUAUAGUAUGUUUCCUGAAAAGCUCUCAUGGAGGUGUUAAUCUAACUUUCUAUUCCUUGCAUGAAAAUAUCACUUAGGAAGCUGUGUGAAUUAUGCAGCCUACUCAUAAUAGAAAUAUUCUGUGGGUUAUCUCACCACUUUACACAAAGGUUGAUGCAGGAACAUAUAGCCAUGAAGCUCUUAGAUGCUCUUAAUUUUAAUUCUGGUUUGGUGGACACUU